This 492-nucleotide ribosomal RNA is filed under the name uncultured bacterium. Its description in RNAcentral is "partial 16S ribosomal RNA". It matches the Rfam family "Bacterial small subunit ribosomal RNA", at positions 29 to 507 of the family's 1533-position model. The record is from RNAcentral.
AGUGAACGCUGGCGGUAGGCCUAACACAUGCAAGUCGAACGGCAGCACAGUAAGAGCUUGCUCUUACGGGUGGCGAGUGGCGGACGGGUGAGGAAUACAUCGGAAUCUACUUUUUCGUGGGGGAUAACGUAGGGAAACUUACGCUAAUACCGCAUACGACCUACGGGUGAAAGCAGGGGAUCUUCGUACCUUGCGCGAUUGAAUGAGCCGAUGUCGGAUUAGCUAGUUGGCGGGGUAAAGGCCCACCAAGGCGACGAUCCGUAGCUGGUCUGAGAGGAUGAUCAGACACACUGGAACUGAGACACGGUCCAGACUCCUACGGGAGGCAGCAGUGGGGAAUAUUGGACAAUGGGCGCAAGCCUGAUCCAGACAUACCGCGUGGGUGAAGAAGGCCUUCGGGUUGUAAAGCCCUUUUGUUGGGAAAGAAAAGCAGCAGGUUAAUAACCCGAUGUUCUGACGGUACCCAAAGAAUAAGCACCGGCUAACUUCGUG